Molecule: long non-coding RNA, 2644 nt
Organism: Capsicum annuum
Lineage: Eukaryota; Viridiplantae; Streptophyta; Magnoliopsida; Solanales; Solanaceae
Exons: 3
Source: RefSeq, a predicted model, not a curated record
AAACACUAGAAGCCCAAUGUACACACUAUACAGUGAUAUUCUUCCAAUCUUAUCUUCAAAGAUCAAAUACUAUUUGAAUUGAAACAAGCUAAGAAAAAAAUAGUUAAGAAGAAUUGAAGAUGGAAUUUAUUAUAUAUAUAUGUGGUGAGUGAUUUCCAUGCUAUGCUUGUCAAGUGAGCAGUCCUUUUUUGCUCUUAACCUUUGUCUCAUUGUCUGUUCGACCUUGAAUAAUAUAACCAGCUUAGAUAAAUUUAAAAUAUAAAAAAGUAAAUACACGUACUGUGAACAAGAUUCAAUAUCGAUCAACUGUAUAUAUAUAUAUAUGUAGAUUAAAGAAACUCAUCUAAUAUAUACGUGUAGUUUUUCGACGUAAGGUUAUCCUAGCUCCAGCCUGUUCACAAACCCUAGCUAUUAGGUGAGUAAUUAAGUGAAAAGUCACACAUCUCAACCACUUCAUAUAAUUACCAUGAUUAGCUCUCUUGAUUUUUGGAUUCAAUUAACUUGAGUUGCAGAAAUAUUUUCUCUCUAUGUAUAUUAAUUGGAAAUCGAAAUAUAGGUGUAAAUAGUGCUAUACCUACUAAUGAUUUGCGACAAUAGUAUUGUACUCUUUGAUUGUUUUCUCAAGAAAAAAGUGGACAAAUUAGGAAUUACGAUUCUAGUCACGUUAGGAAAAUUCUCGGUAGCUUAGUUGGUUGACGAACUGAACGUUCACCUUAUUGGUGAGGUUUUAUUUCUCGUCUUCUGAUCUCCUCCCCCGUUUUUCCUUCGAAUCCCUUAUAACCUCAAUUUAAUUAAAAGAUUUUUCUUUUAAAAUAGCACAAGUAGUAGGAAAAUCGUUGUAAUUUUAAAAGAACUUUUUCUUGAUAAAGGAUAAAUAAUUAAGAGGUAGUUAGGGUACAAGAUCUUAGAAGUAUAUAAUUUGUAUAGAAAAGGAAAAAAUAGUCAGUUUUAAUCAGGACUCAUGAGUUUGGUAUAACUCAUUUUUUAAUGUAAUUUUUUCUUUUUUCAUAAUCGUGGUGUUUGGGUCAGCUUUUGCGUAUCUCAACUAAAUCCACGAGAUACCUCCCACCAGCAAUCGACAUCAGAAAACUCUGGGUCAGCUUUUGCGUACCUCAACUAAAUCCACAAGAUACCUCCCACCUCCCACCAGCAAUCGACAUUAGAUAACUCUGUCCACCAAAGAUAUGAGUUGACCAUAUAAUGAAAAAUAGACAGAAAUAAGGGUAAUGACUUUUCCUCUCUGAAGUUUGUUAAAAACGGAUUGCGAAGUAUAAUUGGUGACGACGUUUUAAAUAAAUUGUUUAAUUUUGUUAUAAAGAAGAUGAAUUAUUGAAAGUGUAUCUAAUAAUCCGAUCAUUGAUCGUUUUCAGAAAUAACAAGUCAUCGAGUGUAGUUGCAAUGAUAAUAUUUAGUAUAUUUAUGUACUAUUAAAUGAUUCGUUGCUUUUUAAAUAUAUUGAAUAUCAAUACGUGUUAGUUAGUUUGGUGGUUACUAUAGAUAACCUUGAGGUCGUUAUUCCGUCCUAAAAUUCAAAACCCCAAACUUUAAAUCCUGAAAUCGCCUCAGUAGUUGAUGCUUUGUUAUGUACUUAAGGUCGAACAAACAAUGAAUCUAAGGUAAAAAAGAAGCAAAAAGACUGCUAAUUUGACAAGGUUUGCAUUGAAAUCAACACCAAUUCUUGAAGCUCACAGUUACCAGAAUCAUAUGGAAGUUCAGCUUUCAACUUUUACCAGUUGUAGCAGAAACACACACACAGCUUUGCUAGCUAGUUGAUAUGUUCUUCAAACUAGCUUGUUAUUAAGGGGAGAAGCAAAUACACAACAUAAACACACACAACAUAUUCGGAGCAAAUAAUCCAUUAUAUAUGUCCAUGGAUUAUAAAUAAUAUAUCAUGGCAGGAAGUUACAUGAACGAUGUCUUGUACCAUCUACUGACGUUGACCAUCCACAGUAUCAACAUAGAUUAAUGCCAGUGCAGGCAUUUGGAUCAUCUGGAUUACAAUUGCUGCCACAUAACUUGCAAUUUUAAAGUUCCAGGCAUAUCAACUGCAUGCAUAUAUAUAUAUAUAUAUUAAUAUCCAUCAACGUAAACUAUGAUCAAUAUAUAAAUGUACGUGUACAUAUGUAGAAACAUUGGAAAUUAAGAAAAAAAAAAAGUUUUAAAAGUUACGAACCAAUAGUCAUGGUCAACAGAACAAGGAAGAAAAUAGCAAACUUGUUCACUGCAGCAGCCAUAUUUUGCAAAUUAAAGCUAAUUUGGAUUAUAUUGCUGUGUGCUGAUUUCUUUCAUGAAGAAGGGUCAUAUUUAUAAGCCCCUAUAUAUGUACACUAAUAUUAAUUAAUAAAAUGCCAUUUCUAUCGUUUUAAAAAAAAUAAAAAAUGAAGAAAUUAGAAGUGCAUGUUGUAUAUUUUGAAUGACUCGAAGCUCACAUGGGCAUAAUAUUAUGAAGAUAAAUAUUUAGAUACUGAAUCAUCAAAAUCCAUCGAAGUUGUCAUGUAAUCUUUUCAUUUCUUUCUUCAAACUUAACUUAUGUAUAUAAUCUAUAUCUAUAAUUCAGAAUAUACUAAAAGUGUGAAUAUCUUUGAACCUUAUUCCCUUCAUUAAAAGUCUUUGUUUUAGAUAAAAUUAUUUUUUUACUAUUUCU